GGGUUGUGAGGUUAAGCGACUAAGCGUACACGGUGGAUGCCCUGGCAGUCAGAGGCGAUGAAGGGCGUGCUAAUCUGCGAUAAGCGCCGGUAAGGUGAUAUGAACCGUUAUAACCGGCGAUACCCGAAUGGGGAAACCCAGUGUGAUUCGUCACACUAUCAUUAACUGAAUCCAUAGGUUAAUGAGGCGAACCGGGGGAACUGAAACAUCUAAGUACCACGAGGAAAAGAAAUCAACCGAGAUUCCCCCAGUAGCGGCGAGCGAACGGGGAGGAGCCCAGAGCCUGAAUCAGCAUGUGUGUUAGUGGAAGCGUCUGGAAAGGCGCGCGAUACAGGGUGACAGCCCCGUACACAAAAGCGCAUGUGCUGUGAGCUCGAUGAGUAGGGCGGGACACGUGGUAUCCUGUCUGAAUAUGGGGGGACCAUCCUCCAAGGCUAAAUACUCCUGACUGACCGAUAGUGAACCAGUACCGUGAGGGAAAGGCGAAAAGAACCCCGGCGAGGGGAGUGAAAAAGAACCUGAAACCGUGUACGUACAAGCAGUGGGAGCCCCACCACUAAGCCAGUGGUGAACUCCACAUCCGCAUCCUUUGCUGAGGAUACGGUUAACGGAGCGAAAGCGACGUUCAACCGCAAAACAAGCAGAGGGGGCUUAG
RNAcentral lists this ribosomal RNA (655 nucleotides) under Salmonella enterica. Its description in RNAcentral is "partial 23S ribosomal RNA". It matches the Rfam family "Bacterial large subunit ribosomal RNA", at positions 1 to 671 of the family's 2925-position model. Lineage: Bacteria; Pseudomonadati; Pseudomonadota; Gammaproteobacteria; Enterobacterales; Enterobacteriaceae. RNAcentral also lists the same sequence under 1 other name. The record is from RNAcentral.